UAGAUCCAGCAUCUCCACUUCAGUACCGCCAUUGCUGAAAUGCCACCUCUGCUGGAGUAUAACAGGAUAUGCUUGGUCCCUACUGCACUGAAUUCAGCCCCACAAAGUCUGAGAGGAAGUGAACCACAAGCCCAUCCAAGCCCACCCAGAACAGAAGAAAUUCCAUCAGUCCACUUCUGUUUCUCCCCACUUGUGGUAGCUUGCUCUGUGGUGAGCCACCAGCCUGCUCUGCCUCUGACAGAUGACCCAUGGUGGCAUGUGCUGGUGCCCAUGCAAAUGUCAGCACCAGCCCUGUCAUCAGCUAAAGGAGGGCUCACACCUGCCAUGAGGAGACAGAUGGGAGAAUACCCGGAUUGGUCAGGAGGCAGAGGAGAUCACAACCUUCUAUGCAUAAAACAACCCCAUGCAAGUGGAAAGACAUCAGUGACUUCUUAAAUUCUUCCUUUAUCUGUGCCAUUUUGCCAUUGCCCCCCAAACCUAGACCAGUUUGAAUCAUCCAGCUACACUUCAGGAGAAAAAAGAAUCUCUACAGUGCUAGAAAAUAGUGUAACACUGGCCAGAAAAUUACAUGCAAUGUUGAAGACCAGUGUUGUGCUUCUCUGUGUGGAAAAAACAAACAACAACACAAAACAAGCACAAAAACUUUCAUGGCUGGCUUCUUUCAGUGUGCCAAGCUAUGCCCAUGAUUUCUUCAGACCAGGUAUGGGCUAAGAG
Molecule: long non-coding RNA, 714 nt
Organism: Perognathus longimembris pacificus (Pacific pocket mouse)
Lineage: Eukaryota; Metazoa; Chordata; Mammalia; Rodentia; Heteromyidae
Exons: 3
Source: RefSeq, a predicted model, not a curated record